GGGGGGUGUAUUCAAUUAGGAUUUUGAAGGAUUUUAAUUCUUUUAAUGAAUCUAGGGGUAUUCAAUCAGGAAUUUAAGUGAUUCUCUGAAAUUCAAUGUGUAUUCAAUCAGGAUUUUAAGAUAGUUUAUGAAAAUCCUUAGAAAUCCAGGUGUAUUCAAUUAGAAUUUUAAAGAAGUUUAUAACAUUCCAGGUGUAUUCAAUUAGAAUUUGAUUUUAAAGAAUUUAAGAAAGUUGAGGAAUUAGAGGGAAUUGGAGAGAUUUCAUAGUGUAUUUUGAGCAUCCACAAAUCUCACCUCCCCCCAAGAGAUUUCGAGGGAAUUGAAUCAAAAUUUUACAUGGAAUCUCUACAAAUCAAUUAAACUCCAUAAAAAUCCAUGGAUUUAUAAAUCCAUUAAAAUCUCUCAAAUUCUCAAUUGAAUACACCCUCCUUAGAUGACCUC
This 441-nucleotide long non-coding RNA is filed under the name Malus domestica (apple). RNAcentral describes it as "long non-coding RNA (MDOM_LNC013670)". Lineage: Eukaryota; Viridiplantae; Streptophyta; Magnoliopsida; Rosales; Rosaceae. The record is from RNAcentral.